RNAcentral lists this long non-coding RNA (540 nucleotides) under Calidris pygmaea (Spoon-billed sandpiper). RNAcentral describes it as "lncRNA (ENSCPGG00000007410.1)". The record is from RNAcentral. Lineage: Eukaryota; Metazoa; Chordata; Aves; Charadriiformes; Scolopacidae.
CUAGAUUCCAAGGGUGGAAUAAAAAGCUGUAUUUAUUUUUAUGGAAGCACUAACAAUUCUAUUUGGAUUGGAUUUCUUCGUAGCAAAACCAAUGAAUUAUUGAACAGAUUGGACCCGGGUUUGCCAAAGAGUGAUUCCUGUCAGAUUGCUAAUCGUGGCCCAGAAUCUGCAGCAUGGUCUAGGAGCCAUACUUAUAAGCAAGCUCUUCGAGAGUAUGAAAACAGAAGAUUAGAGGAAAUGAAGCAAGAACAACGGAGGAAGGCUGAAUUAAUGGAAUUUAAACAAAAGCAGGAAGAGGAAGCCAGGACAAGAGCACAUCAAAACGAACAGAGGAGGGUAAAUAAUGCUUUCCUGGACCGACUCCAGAACAAAACGCAACCUAAUAGCAUCUACCAACCUGGAUAUUCUGGGAGUCUGGACUACCUCAGUAACAACGCCUCGGUAAGAUUUUUGGGUACAGAAUGUGAAAGCAGUGGGAUUGUUUGGCCCCAUCUGGAGUACUGUGUUCAGUUCUGGGCUCCCCAGUUGAAGGACAGGCAA